Molecule: transfer RNA, 70 nt
Filed under: Felis catus (domestic cat)
Lineage: Eukaryota; Metazoa; Chordata; Mammalia; Carnivora; Felidae
Rfam family: tRNA
About the family: Transfer RNA (tRNA) molecules are approximately 80 nucleotides in length. Their secondary structure includes four short double-helical elements and three loops (D, anti-codon, and T loops). Further hydrogen bonds mediate the characteristic L-shaped molecular structure. tRNAs have two regions of fundamental functional importance: the anti-codon, which is responsible for specific mRNA codon recognition, and the 3' end, to which the tRNAs corresponding amino acid is attached (by aminoacyl-tRNA synthetases). tRNAs cope with the degeneracy of the genetic code in two manners: having more than one tRNA (with a specific anti-codon) for a particular amino acid; and 'wobble' base-pairing, i.e. permitting non-standard base-pairing at the 3rd anti-codon position.
Source: Rfam by way of RNAcentral
UGGCUCAGUCGGUUGAGCAUCUGACUUCAGCUCAGGUCAUGAUCUCACAGUUUGUGGGUUCGAGCCCCAC